Mauremys mutica (yellowpond turtle) is the source of this 406-nucleotide long non-coding RNA. RefSeq lists it as uncharacterized. The record is from RefSeq and is a predicted model, not a curated record. The transcript is spliced from 4 exons. Lineage: Eukaryota; Metazoa; Chordata; Testudines; Geoemydidae.
AGGUCUGUGCAUGGAGUAGCUGUAGCAUUUUCCCGCCUGCUGGGGAGAGCCAGGCAGCAGGGACGCCCGGAACGAGUCCAGCGUGACACCAGUAACCCUUAUGAAGAGGAUAUUCACUACGCCUCGGUGGAUUGGCUGGGAAGCUCCAGGCAACCACUGCCCCAGAGAGAAGAGACACUGACAUACGCGGACAUCAAUCUGCAGCGGGGCAGAUGUCAUUAAUGCUCCACUUGCUGAAAUGUAGGACUCAGUGUGCAGCUGCAUCACAGAACCUCCCAAAAUCAGAGGCAACUGUAGGGGCCGUGCAGCUAGGCAGUGGGGAUCCUUCUCCGGGGACACACCUGGAUAAUGCAGUGUGCCCAAAGUGAUGCAUGAAAAAAUGUUUCUGCUGAAUAAAAUUGGGGAA